Non-coding RNA from Triticum aestivum (bread wheat), 135 nucleotides. The record is from Rfam. NCBI's taxonomy places the organism in Eukaryota, Viridiplantae, Streptophyta, Magnoliopsida, Poales, Poaceae.
AAAGUACUCCCUCCGUCCCAAAAUUCUUGUGUUAGAUUUGUAUAGAUACGGAUGUAUCAAGUCACAUUUUAGUAUUAGAUACAUCCAUAUCUAGACAAAUCUAAGACAAGAAAUUUGGGACAGAGGGAGUAGUUG